RNAcentral lists this ribosomal RNA (788 nucleotides) under uncultured bacterium. RNAcentral describes it as "bacterial SSU rRNA". It matches the Rfam family "Bacterial small subunit ribosomal RNA", at positions 8 to 793 of the family's 1533-position model. The record is from RNAcentral.
AGAGUUUGAUCCUGGCUCAGAUUGAACGCUGGCGGCAUGCCUUACACAUGCAAGUCGAACGGAUUGAGGGGCUUGCUCCUCAGUUAGUGGCGAACGGGUGAGUAAAGCAUCGGAACGUACCCAGUUGUGGGGGAUAACGUAGCGAAAGUUACGCUAAUACCGCAUACGCACUGAGGUGGAAAGCGGGGGACCGAAAGGCCUCGCGCAAUUGGAGCGGCCGAUGUCGGAUUAGCUAGUUGGUGGGGUAAAGGCCUACCAAGGCGACGAUCCGUAGCUGGUCUGAGAGGACGACCAGCCACACUGGAACUGAGACACGGUCCAGACUCCUACGGGAGGCAGCAGUGGGGAAUUUUGGACAAUGGGCGAAAGCCUGAUCCAGCCAUGCCGCGUGAGUGAAGAAGGCCUUCGGGUUGUAAAGCUCUUUCAGACGGAAAGAAAUCUCCUGGGUGAAUAUCCCGGGAGGAUGACGGUACCGUAAGAAGAAGCACCGGCUAACUACGUGCCAGCAGCCGCGGUAAUACGUAGGGUGCGAGCGUUAAUCGGAAUUACUGGGCGUAAAGCGUGCGCAGGCGGUUGCAUAAGACAGAUGUGAAAUCCCCGGGCUCAACCUGGGAACUGCGUUUGUGACUGUGCGACUGGAGUACGGUAGAGGGGGGUGGAAUUCCUGGUGUAGCAGUGAAAUGCGUAGAUAUCAGGAGGAACAUCGAUGGCGAAGGCAGCCCCCUGGACCUGUACUGACGCUCAUGCACGAAAGCGUGGGGAGCAAACAGGAUUAGAUACCCUGGUAG